This 274-nucleotide ribosomal RNA is filed under the name uncultured bacterium. RNAcentral's name for it is "partial 16S ribosomal RNA". It matches the Rfam family "Bacterial small subunit ribosomal RNA", at positions 523 to 796 of the family's 1533-position model. The record is from RNAcentral.
CUACGGAGGGGGUUAGCGUUGUUCGGAAUUACUGGGCGUAAAGCGCACGUAGGCGGACUGAUCAGUUAGAGGAGAAAUCCCAGGGCUCAACCCUGGAACUGCCUUUAAUACUGUCAGUCUAGAGAUCGAGAGAGGUGAGUGGAAUUCCAAGUGUAGAGGUGAAAUUCGUAGAUAUUUGGAGGAACACCAGUGGCGAAGGCGGCUCACUGGCUCGAUACUGACGCUGAGGUGCGAAAGCGUGGGGAGCAAACAGGAUUAGAUACCCCAGUAGUCC